CCUACGGGGUGCAGCAGUGGGGAAUAUUGCACAAUGGGGGGAACCCUGAUGCAGCAAUGCCGCGUGGGUGAAGAAGCACUCCUGUGCGUAAAGCCCUGUCAGCAGGGAAGAAAAUGACAGUACCUGACCAAGAAGCCCCGGCUAACUACGUGCCAGCAGCCGCGGUAAUACGUAGGGGGCAAGCGUUAUCCGGAUUUACUGGGUGUAAAGGGAGCGCAGGCGGUAUGGGAAGUCAGAUGUGAAAACCUAGGGCCCAACCCUGGGACUGCAUUUGAAACUGCCAUACUGGAGUGCAGGAGAGGUAAGUGGAAUUCCUAGUGUAGCGGUGAAAUGCGUAGAUAUUAGGAGGAACACCAGUGGCGAAGGCGGCUUACUGGACGGUAACUGACGCUGAGGCUCGAAAGCGUGGGGAGCAAACAGGAUUAGAUACCCUUGUAGUC
Molecule: ribosomal RNA, 440 nt
Filed under: uncultured bacterium
Lineage: Bacteria
Description: partial 16S ribosomal RNA
Rfam family: Bacterial small subunit ribosomal RNA
Source: RNAcentral